GCAAGUCGUGCGAGACCUUCGGGUCUAGCGGCGGACGGGUUAGUAACGCGUGGGAACAUACCCUUCUCUAAGGAAUAGCCACUGGAAACGGUGAGUAAUACCUUAUACGCCCUUCGGGGGAAAGAUUUAUCGGAGAUGGAUUGGCCCGCGUUAGAUUAGAUAGUUGGUGGGGUAACGGCCUACCAAGUCUACGAUCUAUAGCUGGUUUUAGAGGAUGAUC
This 220-nucleotide ribosomal RNA is filed under the name uncultured bacterium. RNAcentral's name for it is "partial 16S ribosomal RNA". It matches the Rfam family "Bacterial small subunit ribosomal RNA", at positions 57 to 305 of the family's 1533-position model. The record is from RNAcentral.